This 497-nucleotide ribosomal RNA is filed under the name uncultured bacterium. RNAcentral describes it as "partial 16S ribosomal RNA". It matches the Rfam family "Bacterial small subunit ribosomal RNA", at positions 28 to 507 of the family's 1533-position model. The record is from RNAcentral.
GAUGAACGCUGGCGGCGUGCCUAAUACAUGCAAGUCGAGCGAACAGACGAGGAGCUUGCUCCUCUGACGUUAGCGGCGGACGGGUGAGUAACACGUGGAUAACCUACCUAUAAGACUGGGAUAACUUCGGGAAACCGGAGCUAAUACCGGAUAAUAUAUUGAACCGCAUGGUUCAAUAGUGAAAGACGGUUUUGCUGUCACUUAUAGAUGGAUCCGCGCCGCAUUAGCUAGUUGGUAAGGUAACGGCUUACCAAGGCAACGAUGCGUAGCCGACCUGAGAGGGUGAUCGGCCACACUGGAACUGAGACACGGUCCAGACUCCUACGGGAGGAAGCAGUAGGGAAUCUUACGCAAUGGGCGAAAGCCUGACGGAGCAAAGCCGCGUGAGUGAUGAAGGUCUUAGGAUCGUAAAACUAUGUUAUUAGGGAAGAACAAAUGUGUAAGUAACUAUGCACGUAUUGACGGUACCUAAUCAGAAAGCCACGGCUAACUACGUG